CACGCCAACCGGAGGGGUCGCGAACCCACCGGGGCCUCCGGGAGAGGAGCCACCCGAGGGUGGGGUUUCCAAAAAACACCAGGCUGCUGCAACAGCGCCUGCAGCUUAUCUGCUGACAGCAGAAACCGGCCGUGAGUUUCCCCACGCCUGCCGCUCUCGGUGGGGCUGCCGGGGGCACGGCCGGAGGCCGGGGAAGAGCCGGGAUUUCUGCGCUUGGGUCACCAGAAACCUGCCGUGACGGUGCCGCCGUGCCUCCGGGCACCCAGGCGAGAUGAGUUCACUUCCUCCAGCAGUGUCCGGUAGCCGAGAUUGCAAAACACAUUCAAAUGUGGCUUUAGUUCAUGGGACAUCUUCUUCCGCAACGCCAACGCCGGAGCUGCUCCAGGCACCGCUUACCAAAGCCCCCCCCCCCACUGAGCACCAGCCUUUCUGCACUGUCACAAGCACAGUUCCUGGUUCAAGCACAGCCCAACGUAGACAAACUGGUGGAAGACCACCUCGCAGUGCAAUCUCUCAUCAGGGCAUACCAGGUAAGGAGCUCGCCGUGUGCAGUUCGCCCUUUGCAGCCCCCCCAGCAGCUCGGGCACCCCUGCCCCUGGUGGCUUCGUGCUGGAUGCAUGGCGCACGGGUUGUGUGUGUGCACCUCGGGCUUUUAACAUCUGCUGACCUGCUGGGGCAGAUGCUCAGCUGAUGGCUCUUAGACAAUAGGAAGAUUAAAGCCAUUGUCCCCCGAUCAGAGCAGUUCUGUAGCAGUGCUGCCAGCCAGGAGCUGCGGGAGGGGGCCCCGUUCCCACGCCGGGGCUGGGGUGUGAGCGCCGCGCUGCGCUUUGCUUCCGCCUCCUGCCUCGCUCAGAAGUAGCGUGGGACGGCCGUCCUGCUUCCCGUGGCUCAAGUGACAGAUCUCAGGUCCCGAAAUAGAAGCUCAGGAAACGUUUCCUUGCGAUCUGCAAAGUGGGAGAAGGCUGCGGCGCCACCGGACUGAAGCUCAGACCAACGCUGCCAAAAUCAACGUCUCGGGAGAAGCAAGUUCUGAGCAGAAAGGAAACAUCCGCUGGCUGAAGGAGCAGCGUGUGCACAAAUGCCAUGGCCAGUGUUUUACUCGGGAGGGCGCGGAGCUGUGUCUCUCUGCCUGUCGUUCUUUCACCUUUGGUUGCAGCCUGGUUUGCCCAGAGUGAGCUUCGCUGGGGACUGCGGUGGGAAGUUCCCAAACCCAGCCACAGUGGAGGUGACCUUAGCUCUGCCAUGCCCCGUGUCACCUGCUGCUGUAAAGAAGCACUCGCUGCAGGUCAGGAUCCUGCUCAGGUAUCGGAAAAACCCAAGGUACUGGGCCACAGGUUAAGUCCAAAGGUCUGCCCAGCCUGCGCCCUGAUGGUCCAAAGAAAGUGCCCCAGCCCGGCUCUCCUCCGCACCCAAGUCCUGCUGGGGCAUUGCUCUGCUUUUCUUGGGCACGGUGCAGCCAGGGCUUGUUUGUGAGCACCUGCACCGUGCCUUCUGGCCGGGAUUGUGGGAGGUGACUGCCCUGCUGGCUUUGAACCCCAGGCGAGUGGUUUCUAAGCGCCGUGCGUCGCCUGCUGGCUCAGCAAGCAGGUGGCUGCUGCGAUAAAUCAAGCAGUGCACGGUGUGGGCUGGAGGCAGCGACUUCCGACCAGCAAUUUGAACCCCAAAUCCUCAAUCUCUUCUGCAUUCCCUCCGCUCCUCAGUCUCUGAAAUGGCGGUGCUGGGAGGUGGUUGCUCUUGGCCUUUUUUUUUCUAACCCUUGUUGAGGAAUGUGCCUCCGGUUCUGCACCGGUGCCACUGCACGGCUGCAGCCAUCGUGGCCGUGAGCUGCCGUGGUUGCUCUGGAGGGGGAGUUGAGCGUGGUGUGGGGAGGUAGGCGAGGGCAGAAGGCCCUGCCGGUGCUGUGUCACCUCCUGAAACACCAGGCAGUUAAUUUCUGAAACCGGAUCGAGCUGGAGUGUCCGUGCAGUUAGAGGUGAGCCGUGCCCCUGCUCUGCCGUAGCUCGUGGUAGCACCAGCGCUGGCUUGUUCCUUAAUUGUAGCCGUGCUUACGUGUCCAAUUCAUCAUUUCCUUUGAAAUAACUGGUGUGGUCUUGUUCCGAGCUGGGGAAAACAAUCUGCCUUUGUGUCCCUGUCACGAGGGCGGCCGUGCCACCCACCUGGCGGGACCUCCGCCGCUGGCUGCUCCCACGGCUGCCGACGAAGCUCCGUGUGGCAGCGCCCUGAAAAAAAUGAAAAAAAGCGUGGCUCCUGCUGGGAAAAGGCCUCUUCCUCGUUCCCACAAGAAUUUGGGGGUUCGCUGCGUCCUGCUGAGCAGAUCUCUGGACUGGUCACCGAAUGCUCCUUGCCUCGCCCCUGCUCACCAGCCCUGCUCCCAGCCAGGGCACCCAGCCCCAGGCGUCUGCCCCAUGGACGUGGGAGCAGCACAGUGAGCUCGUGUCCUGCCCCUAAGCCUCGGGAUAGUCCUCAUGCUCUGCUGCAAGUCAGAUGAGCAAAUAAACGCAUCUGGGACAAAGGGGGCCCCCGAGCA
Molecule: long non-coding RNA, 2527 nt
Filed under: Anas platyrhynchos platyrhynchos (common mallard)
Lineage: Eukaryota; Metazoa; Chordata; Aves; Anseriformes; Anatidae
Description: lncRNA (ENSAPLG00000029460.1)
Source: RNAcentral